AAGGGAGACCUAAUUCCGGUAGGAGACGAAAAAAAAGUAGUCCCAACCAAGAAUCAAUCCCAAAAGGUCGGAACGAGGUAUGAGGCUUUCAAACUAGGUUCUGGGUUCAUAAAAGACCUGAAUCAGGAACAAGGGCUAUUAGCUCGGGUGGUUAGAGCGCACCCCUGAUAAGGGUGAGGUCCCUGGUUCGAGUCCAGGAUGGCCCACCUGCACAGGUGGCAAAAACAAGAGAAGCUCCGAAUCAGCACCUUAUCUUAUAUACAUAUAUAAGAGAGAAUGCUGGCUCUGAGUACAGAGUCCAGAGGAACCUUGAAAACUGCAUAGAGCUAGGUGAAAAAGCCAAAAAAGAAGACCGCAA
RNAcentral lists this transfer RNA (358 nucleotides) under uncultured Microcystis sp. RNAcentral's name for it is "partial 16S-23S ribosomal RNA intergenic spacer". The stretch from base 133 to 206 matches the Rfam family "tRNA". Lineage: Bacteria; Bacillati; Cyanobacteriota; Cyanophyceae; Chroococcales; Microcystaceae. The record is from RNAcentral.